UACUAUACUGAUGAAUAUUAUUGAAAUCUUAAUUAUUAAUAGAUAUAUUCUUUAAAUUUGAAGAAUUUGGCGGUAAUUUAGUCUUGUUAGAGGAACCUGUUUUUGAAUCGAUACUCCACGCAGAAUCUUACUCAUCUUAAAUAUAAAAGCUUAUAUACCAUCAUUAGCAGAUAAUUUUUAAAAAAUUAAUUAUUAAAGUUUAAAAAUAAAGUUAAUCAAAAUUAGAUCAAGGUGUAGCCUAUAGGUGAGUUAAAAUGGGUUACAAUAAAAUUUAUUUACAACGGAGCAAAUAAUAGGAAGAAACUUUGUAGAAGGAGGAUUUAAUUGUAAUAUAAUUUUAAUAAGUUAAAAAGAUAUAAGCUCUAAAUUAU
This 371-nucleotide ribosomal RNA is filed under the name Neopanope packardii (Florida grassflat crab). RNAcentral describes it as "partial 12S ribosomal RNA". The record is from RNAcentral. Lineage: Eukaryota; Metazoa; Arthropoda; Malacostraca; Decapoda; Panopeidae.